GGAUGUGAGGGAGAUCUGGCUAUGACAUCUAUCACCUCAUUGAUCGCCAGGGUUGAUUCAGCUGAUCUGGCUGGCUAGGCGAGUGUCCCUCCCUCACCGAUACAUGUGCGUCCCCUCUGAAGCUGCGCGCUUGGUCGAAGAAGAUGACCACCCCCCAUAGAGGAGGACCGUUUCGUCAGUCAAGGGUAUAAGAGUAGUUGCGUCCCCCUGCUAGAACCUCCAAACAAGCUCUCAAGGAUAUUGGCCUGUGUUUUUGUCUCCUUGUAGUGUUUUCUACAGUUUUGAAUCAGGAUAACAUUAGCUUCACUGAAAGAGCUUGGAAGCAGUCCCUCCUCU
Unclassified non-coding RNA from Fukomys damarensis (Damara mole-rat), 336 nucleotides. Its record names the gene 7SK. It matches the Rfam family "7SK RNA". From Rfam's summary of the family: 7SK was discovered as an abundant small nuclear RNA in the mid-70s but a possible function has only recently been suggested. Two independent studies have found that 7SK RNA binds the CDK9/cyclin T complex (known as elongation factor P-TEFb). The record is from Ensembl. NCBI's taxonomy places the organism in Eukaryota, Metazoa, Chordata, Mammalia, Rodentia, Bathyergidae.